AUUGAACGCUAGCGGGAUGCCUUACACAUGCAAGUCGAACGGAGGGGCGAACGGGUGAGUAAUGUAACGGAACGUGCCCAGUAGCGGGGGAUAACUACGAGAAAGCGUAGCUAAUACCGCAUACUAUUGGAGCGGCCGAUAUCGGAUUAGCUAGCUGGUGGGGUAACGGCGCACGAAGGCGACGUUCCGUAGCUGGUUUGAGAGGACGACCAGCCACACUGGGACUGGGACACGGCCCAGACUCCUACGGGAGGCAGCAGUGGGGAAUUUUGGACAAUGGGGGAAACCCUGAUCCAGCCAUCCCGCGUGUGUGAGGAAGGCCUUCGGUUUGUAAAGCACUUUUGGCAGGAAGGCGGUACCAGCAGAAUAAGCACCGGCUAACUUCGUGCCAGCCGCCGCGGUAAUAC
RNAcentral lists this ribosomal RNA (407 nucleotides) under uncultured bacterium. RNAcentral's name for it is "partial 16S ribosomal RNA". It matches the Rfam family "Bacterial small subunit ribosomal RNA", at positions 30 to 526 of the family's 1533-position model. The record is from RNAcentral.